Long non-coding RNA from Mauremys reevesii (Reeves's turtle), 365 nucleotides. RefSeq lists it as uncharacterized. The transcript is spliced from 3 exons. NCBI's taxonomy places the organism in Eukaryota, Metazoa, Chordata, Testudines, Geoemydidae. The record is from RefSeq and is a predicted model, not a curated record.
CCUAAUCCUUUCUGUGAGAGAGCAAAGGGAGUAAGAGGAUAUGAGGGAGCCAGCUGCCUUCAAGAGACUUGAAGCCUGGAGCAGGCUUGCUAAGUGAGCUAACCAGAGACACCUGGCACAGUACACAUCAGAGACAGACAUGAAAAUCUAUCGAAUAUCAUGUGCAGCAUGAAGCGGUGUCAUCUUUGCCUUCUAGAAAUUACCCCAAAGUUCAGUCUUCAUGCAAAGACAGGAUAAUCCCCUGUAGCUUUUUUUUUUUGCGGUGUUUCUUCCCUGUUGACUUCACAGCUCUUCAGUAAUGCUUGAUUUUGCAUGUAAAAGGACAUCCAUUGUGUUAGCUUACAAUGCUUAAUUUAUGUCCUGAC